This 671-nucleotide ribosomal RNA is filed under the name uncultured Methanosaeta sp. RNAcentral describes it as "bacterial SSU rRNA". It matches the Rfam family "Archaeal small subunit ribosomal RNA", at positions 86 to 758 of the family's 1478-position model. Lineage: Archaea; Methanobacteriati; Methanobacteriota; Methanomicrobia; Methanotrichales; Methanotrichaceae. The record is from RNAcentral.
CUGCUCAGUAACACGUGGAUAACCUACCCUUGAGACGGGGAUAAACCCGGGAAACUGGGUAUAAUACCCGAUAGAUCUCGACUGCUGGAAUGCAUCGAGCUUGAAAGCUCCGGCGCUCAAGGAUGGGUCUGCGGCCUAUCAGGUAGUAGUGGGUGUAGCGUACCUACUAGCCUACGACGGGUACGGGUUGUGAGAGCAAGAGCCCGGAGAUGGAUUCUGAGACACGAAUCCAGGCCCUACGGGGUGCAGCAGGCGCGAAAACUUUACAAUGCUGGAAACAGCGAUAAGGGGACCUCGAGUGCCAGGUUACAAAUCUGGCUGUCGUGAUGCCUAAAAAGCAUUGCAUAGCAAGGGCCGGGCAAGACCGGUGCCAGCCGCCGCGGUAACACCGGCGGCUCGAGUGGUAACCGUUAUUAUUGGGUCUAAAGGGUCUGUAGCCGGCCGGAUAAGUCUCUUGGAAAAUCUGGCAGCUUAACUGUCAGGCUUUCAGGAGAUACUGUCUGGCUCGAGGCCGGGAGAGGUGAGAGGUACUUCAGGGGUAGGGGUGAAAUCUUGUAAUCCUUGAAGGACCACCAGUGGCGAAGGCGUCUCACCAGAACGGACCUGACGGCAAGGGACGAAAGCUAGGGGCACGAACCGGAUUAGAUACCCGGGUAGUCCUAGCCGUAAAC